GAAGACGCUGGCGCGUGCCUAACACAUGCAAGUCGAGCGAGAAAGUCCCUUCGGGGGCGAGUAAAGCGGCGGACGGGUGAGUAAUACAUGGAUAAUCUUCCCUCGAGCCUGGGAUAACCCUGCGAAAGUGGGGCUAAUACCGGAUAAGACCACAUGACACAUGUCACGGGGGUAGAAGGUGGCUUGUAUUUAUAUGAGCUAUCACUUGAGGAUGAGUCCAUGGCCUAUCAGCUAGUUGGUGAGGUAAGAGCUUACCAAGGCUAUGACGGGUAGCUGGUCUGAGAGGACGACUAGCCACACUGGGACUGAGACACGGCCCAGACUCCUACGGGAGGCAGCAGUGGGGAAUAUUGGGCAAUGGGCGAAAGCCUGACCCAGCGACGCCGCGUGGGUGAUGAAGGCCUUCGGGUUGUAAAACCCUUUCGUGCGGAAAGAAUAGUCCUGUAGCGAAUAACUACGGGAUUUGACGGUACCGCAGGAAGAAGCACCGGCUAACUCCGUG
Molecule: ribosomal RNA, 502 nt
Filed under: uncultured bacterium
Lineage: Bacteria
Description: bacterial SSU rRNA
Rfam family: Bacterial small subunit ribosomal RNA
Source: RNAcentral